Sphaerodactylus townsendi is the source of this 1290-nucleotide long non-coding RNA. RefSeq lists it as uncharacterized. NCBI's taxonomy places the organism in Eukaryota, Metazoa, Chordata, Lepidosauria, Squamata, Sphaerodactylidae. The record is from RefSeq and is a predicted model, not a curated record. The transcript has 3 exons.
GAUCGCGGCGCCUCCCGCCCCGCCCAUCUCGCCUGGGUCACUGUCUCUCGCGCGCACGCGCAGCAGCAGCCGCCUCGAGGAAAGAGCUCUGGCCCUGUCCCUCGGGACCGCAGGAUUCUGGCCACGCCCCUCCUGAGCUUUCUGCACGGUUCCAGGGCGGGACUUCCGGCAGCCGCAAACGAACGAGCGCGCCCGCCUCUUUCGAGAAACGAUGCGCUAUUAUUACUCGUGCACGUAGUGAGGCGGGAUCAAGUCUUUUUUAAAUACGUAAUCUCAAAUAGCAAUUGAAAAGUAUGGUGCAAUACAAAUCUAGCAAUUGACAAGUAUGAUGGAGUACAGAUCUGUGCACACUUCAGUAACUGCAUUGGAUUGUACUGAUUGUAUCUGGACGGAUAUUAACAUCGGUUGAGCUUUCUUGUUGGUUCUGUGCCAACCUGGAGAUUUGUUGGGGGAGUGGAGUCUGCAGAGGGUAAGGCAUAGGGAGAAAAGGAAACUGCACGUUUUCCUUUUUCUCCAGGGGAAUUGAUCUCUGUUGUCUGGAAACAAACUGUAAUUCCAGAAGUUCCCCAGCCACUGCCUGGAGGUUGGCAACCGUACUAUGGACAGAAUGUGUUAAGCAUGAAAUUGGGACCAUCCUAUAGUGAAUUCCUUCCUUCAUAGAUUCCAUACAGUGGGAGCCAUAACAUAAAACGCAUAUGUAUGGGUGAUGGAGAAUUUUGACCUACUGGGAGACUGAUCUUGCCAGCUGGGAAUUUGAACCCAAAAAGGGAAGACUGAGGCAUUAUGUCCUGAGGUUCCUCCUCCCCAAAUCCCACUCUCCUCCAGCUGCACCUGAAUAUCUUCUGGGAUUUCCCAACCUGGAGCUGUCAACCCUGGAAGAGUGAAAUUCAAGACCAGGAGCACCUUAAUGUAGAGGUAAAUUGUGGUGGACUCUAAUCUGGAGAACUGGAUUUGAUUCCUCACAUCUUCACAUGAAGCCUUCUGGCUGACCUUGGGCCAGUCACAGUUCUCUCAAAACUCCCUCAUCCCUGACAAGAAAUUCAAUUAUUGUCAGAACUUUGGUCAAGCUUCUCAGGCUAUGAAAUUAUUCUCACUCCUUUAAUUGGAGGGCCCUGUCCUGAUUAGAUUCUGUUUAACUGUUUGAUAUUGUGAGAACGAGCAGGGAGUAUUAGCUACGCAUCUCUCAAAACAUUAAAGAGAUAUUGUGAUUAUUUGUGCCAGGCUGACCCAAAUCACUAAUUGGCCGACAUGAACAUAAGAACAUAAGAACAUAAGAACAAGCCAGCUGGA